Molecule: ribosomal RNA, 549 nt
Filed under: Triticum aestivum (bread wheat)
Lineage: Eukaryota; Viridiplantae; Streptophyta; Magnoliopsida; Poales; Poaceae
Description: partial small subunit ribosomal RNA
Source: RNAcentral
AUGUUGGCAUCAACUGUUGUUAACAAGCACAUAUUGACGCAUGGCAUGGAAAGUACAUAUACUCAUUGGAUAUAUCAUGGAGAAGACUUCAAUGCAGAUGUUAUUGAACAUCUUGCUAAUGUGCAUGACUCUGAGGAUGGUAACAAUGGUGCUGACCGAUCUGAAGAGAUGUUUGGCGACCUACGCACAGUAGUAGAACAAGGUAAGAAGGAAACUGAAAAUGAAAACGGUAACAAUGAUGCAAAUCCUUCUGAGACCGAGUCCUUUUUGAAUAACGUGAGGAAAGAGGCAAAGCGGCACCUUUACAAUGGUUGUACCAAGUUUUCAAGGUUCUCAUUUGUGGUAAGGCUUCUUCAUUUGAAGUCAUGCCAUACGAUCACAAAUAGUGCAUUUACUGACAUUUUGAAGCUACUGGCUGAAGCAUUCCCUCAACCCAAUACACUCCGAAAAUCUUAUGACGAAACAAAGAAUCUUCUAAAGGAAUUGGGCCUUGGGUAUGAGUCUAUACAUGUGUGCAUCAAUAAUUGUGUUUUGUUCAGAAAGCAAUAG